RNAcentral lists this transfer RNA (72 nucleotides) under Myxococcales bacterium. RNAcentral describes it as "tRNA-Lys". It matches the Rfam family "tRNA". Rfam says of the family: Transfer RNA (tRNA) molecules are approximately 80 nucleotides in length. Their secondary structure includes four short double-helical elements and three loops (D, anti-codon, and T loops). Lineage: Bacteria; Pseudomonadati; Myxococcota; Myxococcia; Myxococcales. The record is from RNAcentral. RNAcentral also lists the same sequence under 1 other name.
GGGCUCGUCGUCCAACGGCAGGACACCGGACUUUUAAUCCGAGAGGUGGAGGUUCGAGUCCUCCCGAGCCCA